GCGAGGGUAGCCAAGCCAGGUCAGGCGACAGACUCAAGAUCUGUUCCUGAAGAGGUUCGCCGGUUCGAAUCCGGCCCCUCGCACCA
RNAcentral lists this transfer RNA (86 nucleotides) under Methanobacteriota archaeon. Its description in RNAcentral is "Euryarchaeota archaeon (anaerobic digester metagenome) tRNA-Leu". It matches the Rfam family "tRNA". Rfam says of the family: Transfer RNA (tRNA) molecules are approximately 80 nucleotides in length. Their secondary structure includes four short double-helical elements and three loops (D, anti-codon, and T loops). Further hydrogen bonds mediate the characteristic L-shaped molecular structure. tRNAs have two regions of fundamental functional importance: the anti-codon, which is responsible for specific mRNA codon recognition, and the 3' end, to which the tRNAs corresponding amino acid is attached (by aminoacyl-tRNA synthetases). tRNAs cope with the degeneracy of the genetic code in two manners: having more than one tRNA (with a specific anti-codon) for a particular amino acid; and 'wobble' base-pairing, i.e. permitting non-standard base-pairing at the 3rd anti-codon position. RNAcentral also lists the same sequence under 1 other name. Lineage: Archaea; Methanobacteriati; Methanobacteriota. The record is from RNAcentral.